ACUAUUGUCACGGGUUACCGCGGCUGCUGGCACGGAGUUAGCCGGUGCUUCUUCUGUGAGUGAUGUCCUUCCUGCCGGCUAUUAACCCCGCAGGCCUUCUUCCUCACUGAAAGUGCUUUACAACCCGAAGGCCUUCUUCACACACGCGGCAUGGCUGGAUCAGGGUUGCCCCCAUUGUCCAAUAUUCCCCACUGCUGCCUCCCGUAGGAGUCUGGGCCGUGUCUCAGUCCCAGUGUGGCUGAUCAUCCUCUCAGACCAGCUACGGAUCGUCGCCUUGGUGAGCCGUUACCUCACCAACCAGCUAAUCCGACAUAGGCUCAUCCGAUAGCGCGAGGCCCG
Molecule: ribosomal RNA, 339 nt
Filed under: uncultured bacterium
Lineage: Bacteria
Description: partial 16S ribosomal RNA
Source: RNAcentral